GGAAGAAACCACCAACAAGAUAAGUCUAGCUCUGGAAAUUCCUGAAGAAGUGACAACGAGUAAAUCUGAAUCAUCCCAAGACUGCAGAACUCAGCCCUGCCAGAAUGGUUGGAACCAUGUGCGCAGAUCAACGAGUCGUUCAGCUGCAACUGUGCCGCUGGUUUCAAGGGCAGACGGUGUGAGCUAUAUUGUCAGCGAGUACCUCACCCAUGUACUCGCCUUUACUCUGAAACAAAGAGUGUGCCUGUGUGGGAGGAUGGUGUCUGCCAUUAUUUGUAAGUUUCUGCUGUCUGUAUAUGUCUAUUGUC
This is a long non-coding RNA of Cyprinus carpio (common carp), 308 nucleotides long. RefSeq lists it as uncharacterized. NCBI's taxonomy places the organism in Eukaryota, Metazoa, Chordata, Actinopteri, Cypriniformes, Cyprinidae. The record is from RefSeq and is a predicted model, not a curated record. The transcript is spliced from 3 exons.